This 69-nucleotide transfer RNA is filed under the name Ictidomys tridecemlineatus (thirteen-lined ground squirrel). Its description in RNAcentral is "Spermophilus tridecemlineatus (thirteen-lined ground squirrel) tRNA". It matches the Rfam family "tRNA". Rfam says of the family: Transfer RNA (tRNA) molecules are approximately 80 nucleotides in length. Their secondary structure includes four short double-helical elements and three loops (D, anti-codon, and T loops). Further hydrogen bonds mediate the characteristic L-shaped molecular structure. tRNAs have two regions of fundamental functional importance: the anti-codon, which is responsible for specific mRNA codon recognition, and the 3' end, to which the tRNAs corresponding amino acid is attached (by aminoacyl-tRNA synthetases). tRNAs cope with the degeneracy of the genetic code in two manners: having more than one tRNA (with a specific anti-codon) for a particular amino acid; and 'wobble' base-pairing, i.e. permitting non-standard base-pairing at the 3rd anti-codon position. RNAcentral also lists the same sequence under 1 other name. The record is from Rfam by way of RNAcentral. Lineage: Eukaryota; Metazoa; Chordata; Mammalia; Rodentia; Sciuridae.
GGGGUUGUGGCACAGCGGUAGAGUGCUUGCCUGGCAUGCAUGAGGCACUGGGUUCGAUCCUCAGCACCA